AGCCUCAAACUCCUGGACUCAAUGGGGUCCUCCCACCUCAGCAUCCUGAGUAGCUGGGCCUACAGGUUAUAUGUAUUUUGAAACAGGAAAUCUCGCCAUCCUCACCAAAGCCAUUUCCUUGAGAGGAUUUUAUCUGGUUUGUCUCCUUGACUCCAGGCAGGGCUCCAUUCCAACCAGAUGGAAGAAUGCAGACAUCUCACAUCAUUUACACCCAGAAGGCUGUCAGCAGCAGCGCUCAGGGAGUGAGAGUGUUUAAUCUCGAGGAGGAAAUAGAAUGUAUACACACCCUGCAAACUGAGAUGUUUUACGUUGGCUCUGGCUCCUACCGCCCCCCAUGUGUGGCAGCAGCUACCAAGACUCUACUGUGAAUCCCCAUGACUGCAAUGAGAAUGAACAAAAUGAACAACCUGCAGCAACAUGAAUGGACCUCACAAGGAUAAUGUUGAACAUAAGAAGCCAGGCACAAAAGAGUGCAUAUUUUUGUGUCUGACUCCAUUACAUGAAGUUCAAGAAGAAGAAACAUUAAUGUAUGGUUUUGGAAGGCAGGAUGUGGGGAGGUAGUUGGGGCAUGAGGAGGUUUUGGGGGUACAGGGUGGUGGCAGUGUUUUGCUUCUGGUUCUGGGGGAUGGCUAAGUGUGUGUUCAUUUCAUGUAAGUUCAUAUGCAUUUGUGCAAUUGCCUGUAAAGUUGUCAUACUUCGAUAAUAUUAAAAAUAUGAAAAAUAAAAAUAUAAAGCCCAUAUGGGAGAGCACACUUCUCUGCAUUUUUUUUGCACUUUGGCGAUGAGCUGACAGAGGGGUUGUUAACAAGCACCCUACUUGCUCACUGUGCUUGGUAGGAUCCUCAACCUAGCGAGUCCCACCCCAUUCC
RNAcentral lists this long non-coding RNA (869 nucleotides) under Homo sapiens (human). Its description in RNAcentral is "HSALNT0265089". The record is from RNAcentral. Lineage: Eukaryota; Metazoa; Chordata; Mammalia; Primates; Hominidae.